AUGAACACAUCCAACCAUCCUCAAACCGACGGUCAGUCAGAACGUGUCAAUCAUGCCUUGAAACUGCGCUGCUUCACUCAUUCCUGCCCGAAGCGAUGGAGCCAGUGGAUUCCACUCUCGCAGUUCUGGUACAACGCAGCACCACAUUCGGCAAUUGGCAUGACCCCAUUCAUGGCCAUGUUUGGGCAUGAGCCGCACCAUUGGGGCAUCACCGCCACCUCUUCUUGCUCUAUCCCUCCUCUACAAACUUGGCUCGACGAACAUGCCACUAUUCAGGACUUGUUGCAGCAACAUCUUCAGCGGACGCGCCUGCGCAUGAAGCAACAAGCGGACAAGAAGCGCUCUGAACGCGCUUUCGAGGUGGGCGACCAAGUUUUCUGGAAGCUCCAAUCUUAUGUCCAGACAUCAGUGGCCAAGCACGCCAACCACAAGCUCUCCUUCCGCUACUACGGGCCAUACUCCAUCAUCGCCAAGAUCAACCCUGUGACCUACAAACUGGAACUUCUGGCAAACGCCUCGGUGCAUCCAGUUUUUCAUGUUUUGUUUCUCAGGAAAGCCCUUCUGCCAGGUACGCCAGUUGAACAACAACAACUCCCUAUCACGCCUGAUAUCCAUGCAGUUCCAGCAACAAUUUUGGCCUCACGUUGGAGACGCAAGCGUGGUGCUAUGGCCGAGCAGGUCCUCGUUAGGUGGUCAGAUACUGCGUUGAUCAACGACACUUGGAAGGAAAAACAAGAAAUUCAAGCUCGCUUUCCUGCUGUAGAGGCUUGGGGGCAAGCCUCAUCGCAAGAAAGAGGGGGUGUCAAGGCCACGGAUAGGACGGGCUCUCCAGACGGCAGUGACACGGUCUCGCCCCCGGCUCGGCCCAUGAGACAGAGAUGGCCCAGCAGCAAAGUCCACGGGCCAGAGUGGGUGUGA
Molecule: ribosomal RNA, 918 nt
Filed under: Triticum aestivum (bread wheat)
Lineage: Eukaryota; Viridiplantae; Streptophyta; Magnoliopsida; Poales; Poaceae
Description: partial small subunit ribosomal RNA
Source: RNAcentral